CGCGUAGGCGGUAGGAUACGUCUGAUGUGAAAGUCUUGGGCUUAACCUGAGGAUUGCAUUGGAUACGGUCUUGCUAGAGUGUAAGAGGGGAAGAUGGAAUUGUGCGUGUAGAGGUGAAAUUCGUAGAUAUGCACAAGAACACCGGAGACGAAGGCGAUCUUCUGGCUUACAACUGACGCUGAGGCGCGAAAGCGUGGGGAGCAAACA
RNAcentral lists this ribosomal RNA (207 nucleotides) under uncultured bacterium. RNAcentral's name for it is "partial 16S ribosomal RNA". It matches the Rfam family "Bacterial small subunit ribosomal RNA", at positions 568 to 774 of the family's 1533-position model. The record is from RNAcentral.